GAAGAAGAAGAAGGAGGAGGAGGGAAUCACCAUCAUCCUCAUCGGGGAGAGCUUCUUGGUGGCCACGUCCUGAGCAUCUGUCCUCUGCCACACUCUUCCGCCAUGAUGUUCUGCCUCAUCUCGAGCCCCAAGGAAUCAUGGAGCUGGCCUUCUAUGGACGGGGACCUCUGACACCUUAAGCCCCAAGUAAACUUCUUCUUCUCUAA
Molecule: long non-coding RNA, 206 nt
Organism: Sciurus carolinensis (gray squirrel)
Lineage: Eukaryota; Metazoa; Chordata; Mammalia; Rodentia; Sciuridae
Exons: 2
Source: RefSeq, a predicted model, not a curated record